GCAUAUCAAUAAGCGGAGGAAAAAGAAACUAACAAGGAUUCCCUUAGUAACGGCGAGUGAAGUGGGAAAAGCUCAAAUUUUAAAUCCCCGGGGUUCCCCCGGUGAAUUGUAUUUUGAAGAAAGUGUUUCGACGUUCGGUUUAAUCUAAAUCCUUUGGGAUAAGGUAUCACAGAGGGUGAGAAUCCCGUUCGUGAUUAGGCAUCGGAUGUCUUCCAAUUCACUUUCUAAGAGUCGAGUUGUUUGGGAUUGCAGCUCAAAAUGGGUGGUAAAUUUCACCUAAGGCUAAAUAUCAGCAAGAGACCGAUAGCGAACAAGUACCGUGAGGGAAAGAUGAAAAGAACUUUGAAAAGAGAGUUAAAUAGUACGUGAAAUUGUUGAAAGGGAAACGAUUGAAGUCAGUCAUGCUAGUGAGGAAUCAGCGCGAGGGUUCGCUCUCGUGUGCACUUCUUCGCUUGGCAGGUUAGCAUCAAUUUUGGUCGUCAUAAAAUUAUUGGGGUAAGGUGGCUCCCCUCGGGGAGUGUUAUAGACCCUAGUAGAUGUGAUGACCGGGAUUGAGGAUUGCAGCGAAUGCUACUUGGCUAGUCACCUGGAUUUCUGUUGAUCACCUCGCCGUUGAUAGCUUCGCUAACCUCGGUGGGAUCUGAUUAACUAGAGAUUAGACUGAUCGUAAAUUCGCUAAGGAUGCUGACGUAAUGGCUUUAAACGAC
This 707-nucleotide ribosomal RNA is filed under the name uncultured Acaulospora. RNAcentral describes it as "eukaryotic LSU rRNA". It matches the Rfam family "Eukaryotic large subunit ribosomal RNA", at positions 38 to 648 of the family's 3401-position model. The record is from RNAcentral. Lineage: Eukaryota; Fungi; Glomeromycota; Glomeromycetes; Diversisporales; Acaulosporaceae.